Molecule: small nucleolar RNA, 135 nt
Organism: Sciurus vulgaris (Eurasian red squirrel)
Lineage: Eukaryota; Metazoa; Chordata; Mammalia; Rodentia; Sciuridae
Source: Ensembl
UUGCACAGCGAACACCCAAGUGUGCUUUAUAGUUCCCUUGGCUUUGAUGCUGUGCUAGAGCAAUGUCUGUUCUUCUCCUCUGCAUUGAAAGGUGUAUGUUGUUCUUUCAAAUGUAUUCAGAAAGUCAGCACAUCA